UCCUACGGGGGGCAGCAGUGAGGAAUAUUGGUCAAUGGUCGGGAGACUGAACCAGCCAAGCCGCGUGAGGGAUGAAGGUACAGAGUAUCGUAAACCUCUUUUGUCAGGGAACAAAGGCGGGGACGUGUCCCCGGAUGAGUGUACCUGAAGAAAAAGCAUCGGCUAACUCCGUGCCAGCAGCCGCGGUAAUACGGAGGAUGCGAGCGUUAUCCGGAUUUAUUGGGUUUAAAGGGUGCGUAGGCGGAGUGUCAAGUCAGCGGUAAAAUUUCGGGGCUCAACCCCGUCGUGCCGUUGAAACUGACACC
RNAcentral lists this ribosomal RNA (305 nucleotides) under uncultured bacterium. Its description in RNAcentral is "bacterial SSU rRNA". It matches the Rfam family "Bacterial small subunit ribosomal RNA", at positions 337 to 640 of the family's 1533-position model. The record is from RNAcentral.